CAUUCGCUUGAACUUUUACACUCGUAGAUUCCAGCGUUUGUUUACAAAACCGAUAUAAGUGACCUCACGCAAGUGUCAUUGUCGGGGAUAUAGUACCUUGUAUUUAACGCGAUACCUUGUCAAAACAACGUGAAUUCGUAUCUUUUUUCGCUUUUUCGGAAGUGAUCCUGUGCUUUGUUCUGAUUGGUUGGCGGAAAGAAUACGCAAACAUUCGCGCAAACUUUUCUUCAUUGUGAAGGUGUAGGGAUCCGAUGUGAUACUGAAAAGUACCUUUCAAUUAUUUUAAUUUGGAUCAUCUCCGCAGCGGCGGUGUACAUAAUAUGGGAUAGAAACUUCAAUUACACGAUUGCCGAUGGAGAGUGUAAUCGCUGCGGUCAUGCUGAACAUCGGCAAUCAGCUUGCCGGCAUCGUUUCAAAGUUUGCACUAUCUGUCUCCAGCAAGGCCACAUCAAAUCGGUUUGUCCCCAGGUGAUACCGGACGAGCGAAGCCCUUACGCCGGUGUCUGGCAAAUAUUAUUUCUUCUGUUUUACGUAGAUUACUUCACGAACGGCAAGCGUUCAUCCAGAUGUACGGCAUGUGGUAGCAGGGACCACACGUCGUGCAGAUACUCGAACCGGAGAUGUGUCCGAUGCAACGUAAAAGGACACAUAGCCGCCGUAUGUCCGGGUUUCCGACUGUACCGGAAAAUCGCGCCAACAGUGAAGAUCCUAUUGAUACUCCGUGCCAUUUGGGCAUUGAUACACAUUUUUUGAACUCCAUUUCCUCGGUGAGGAUUUAAUUUAAAUACAAUAAAAUUCUAUUACAAAAAUAAA
Toxorhynchites rutilus septentrionalis is the source of this 813-nucleotide long non-coding RNA. RefSeq lists it as uncharacterized. The transcript is spliced from 2 exons. The record is from RefSeq and is a predicted model, not a curated record. NCBI's taxonomy places the organism in Eukaryota, Metazoa, Arthropoda, Insecta, Diptera, Culicidae.